RNAcentral lists this long non-coding RNA (20088 nucleotides) under Coffea arabica (coffee). RNAcentral's name for it is "long non-coding RNA (CARA_LNC000146)". Lineage: Eukaryota; Viridiplantae; Streptophyta; Magnoliopsida; Gentianales; Rubiaceae. The record is from RNAcentral.
CGGGAGAGCAAAUGAUAAACUCUGUAUAGAUAGAGAAAAGACUGCUCAAAGUAUCAUUCCAACUUUUCAAAACAAACAAGAAUAAUGCACAUUUUUGCUUUCACUUAGAUGUGAAUUGAAUCGGUUAAACACAAUGGAUAUUUUCAAGCAAAGAUGGCCCCAAUUUGCAAUUUAUCAAUCAAUGUGACUGAUUUUAUUUUGGGGUUAAGUGAAGGUAUCUCAUUGGGCCUUUUGAGUGACUAUUCACCUCUUUUCCUGAGCACUCUUAUUGUAUGACUCGGAUUGCCAAUCGAGUGUAAGGAUUUUAGGAGAGUAUACACUUGUGAAAUUCAGGCUGGAGGUUGAAAAAAUCUCAACUUAGUUUUAUUUUUCAAAAUUCAUCAUGAAAUCUCCAAUGAGUAAGAAUAAAGAAUGAAAUGUACAUAAAUAUACACAAAACAAUGAUUGUCCAAAAUUUUACUACUGAAAAAGUUUGAAACAAAAUUUCUCAUUCAAUUACGAUACAAAUGAGAAGAGAGAAACUUGUAAAGAGCUCCACAUAUACACUUUUUGUCUCCUUUUCUUUUGAAACAAAAUGUAUUAACAAAUCAAAUAAACAGAAUUUCCCUUUGGAAAACAAUUACAACAUCUCUCAGAGGCUUUAGCGUAGAACUUCCAGAUAGAUCAUUUAUGUUUUCAUUGUAGGAUCUGCCCAAGAAUCAAAUAACACUUGUAAUCUUCAAACUUUAUUGGAUUAAAAUUAGCAUCAGAUAUAGAAGAAUAUUUUCGUCUUAUUGAAACAUUUUUAUGAAUGCAGAGGAGGGGGAAAACAAAAGAAAAAUACCCAAAGUUAGUAGGCAAAACUGCAAAAUCGGUAUGCAUGUCCUAUGGGGGGAGCCCUUUUUGUGCCAAUGGUAGGCCUAGCAUGAAAAUGCAAUCCUCUGAGGUAGGCACUAUACCAUACCUGAUGGAUCUGAUCAACUCAUUGAGUGAAAAUAAUUUUUGAAAAAUUUGGUCAAUCGGAGUGACGAGAGUCACUUGUCAAAACGAGGACCUCGUCCGGAGGGAUUGAUCACUUUUGAUUGAUACAAGAAUUUGCAAAAACGCACAAGUUUGACCUUGACGAACUUCCUAUCGAAGAGAUUGGAAUUCGUUUUGACAACUUUUCUUAGUGGAGCACGGGUCAAAACUCCAACUGAUCAAAUGGCUGGAUACAAUGGAUGGUUUUCUCAAAAAUCGACUAAAUUUCCCAAUUUGAAAUUGACAUUGAAACCCUGAUUAGUCAAAUGGGUUGAAAUUUUGUGAUUUUCACUUGUUUACGCGCGUUGGUGUGUUCCGGAACGUCUUAGAUCGACGUCAACUGAUCUGUAGUCCUGGCGAGAGCUGGGCAGGCAGUCCGCUAACCCCUUUGGUUCGCCUUAGGGGAAGGGGGGCUGUUACAAGUGGUAUCAGAGCCACUUCGUGUGGUCUCUGCGGUGAGUGAGACUGGGCCAAGUGGUGUUGUGGUCCUAAUUUCAUGAAUAUGUCUAAGUGCUCGUUUGAGCAUAAGUUAUGAACCGGGCAUGCGAUAAGUGUACGAAUCAUUAUCAGGGGACUCGAGGAAGCUAGGUAUGUAUGUCGGGUAGGAAUCUUUAAUAAGGAUGGUUUACUCUUGGGACCGGCCGGCUCGAGUUGUGAAUUAUCUUAGAUAGGAUUCUUGCGCCCGGAUACGAAAGAUAUGAGGGCCUAGGUUAGAAAGGAUUUGGUGAACUAGAAAGGCCAUUCCUCGGUGGAUCGUUUAUGUUUGUACUUGACUUAACUGGCUGUAUAUAUAUGUGUGGCUUAAUUUUGACCGGCUUGUAUAUAUAUGUUUUGAUCUUGUUUGGAAUGUAUAAAUAUGUGUUAUUAUAAAAGUUUUGAGUGUUACUCACAUGCAUCGUGCUUAUUUUGGUUUAGUAUUAUUGCCUAAACCAAGUAAAACUCAUGGAAGGUACACGGAAUGGUCAGGGACGUGGGCGCGGAACUAGACAACCCACACCGUUAGGGGUACAGGGGAAACCUCUACUGGACCCAAUCUGGAACCGCAAGUAAACCCUAAUGUGCAAAUCCAGAAGAGCACCACUUACACUACUCUCCGUCCACCAUUCACACCCCCUACUGGGCCCAAAAUCCUCAAUAAACACGGGUGGUAAUACUCGAGUAUAUCGAUUAGUCGAGGAGAUAUCACCCCACUCGACAUAACUAACGACCCAUGGUUCGUUAUCUAAUCGACCAAACCCUUGCCAGCUUGACUCGAUUAACUAGCCAAUGGGGUUUGGGUCCCUAAGAAGUCGAUGAAAUAACCUCUCCAAUCGACGGAAUUAAGAUAAAAGUAUGGAGAUGGGAAUGAGAGGCACCUCCCACUCGGAUUGAGCAUGGUACAUACUGUCACUCCACACUUACAAAUCAAGUACAAGUAUAUCAACUUAAUUGCAACAAUAAACAAGUAUAGAUCAUGUUUGGGCAAGUGCAAUAAAUUACACUAUUGCCCGAUCAACAAAUCUCAUAUCAAUUAUGUACAAGUAUUAUGAACAAAUGUCCAGGUCAACCAGGUAUUUGGAAACACUCACCCAAAAUGCGGUGCCUUUAAGAGUUACGUUCGGGUAUUACUCCGUGUUCGGAGUCCAAAUCUGCGAUAAAACAUUGUUUAAGAACUUUUAAAAGUAACUAAGGUUCGAAACUUAAACGUUUCGUUCAAUAAGAAUCAAGAAAUUGAAAUUCACUUGAAGAAUAUUCGUGAAACACUCACUCGCUUUUCAAACUAUAUAACAUUGUAACAUUAUACUUGGAAAUGACAGAAUCAAACUAACGACAUGUGCGGAAAUGAGGUUUAGCAAAAGACAGAUUUGACGUGUUUUUACGUAAUGGAUACAACCAAAGCUACGCUUAUCGUAUUGGGGUGCAACUUAUACCGUACUGAAUCUAAGACAAAGGGCAACAAUUUUGAUGAAGACCACUUAGUCCAAAUUCCAGUGUAACCUAGUCAAAUUCCCAAUUCACAGAACCAAAUUCCAACUAAUAGACCAGUUUAACCACACUACCUUAAAAUGGCCAUAUCUCAAGCUACCAAAGUCCGUUUAAGACUUUCUUGGAGGCGUUGAAAAGCUAAACCAAAGUACUAAAACUUUCAUGUUUUAGAUAAAAGCUAGUUCAGUACGUAUCAAGGUGAAAAAACUCAACUAACUUAGUGUACUGUCUAAACUGUCCACUGACUUUACUCCUAUGGCAGUCAGGGUAUUUUCGUAUUUUCACAGGCUACGUUAAUCCGAUUGAGCUAAAAUUUUGUAGGUAAUAAUAAAAUGUCAUUCUAUACAACUUUCAUGUUUUGCAUGAAGCCUGAUUCAGCCUCUAACAUGAUGAAAUAGAAUCGGGCAGAACUGAAGCUAAAUUUUCCAGAAAUCUGGAAUUUUGGUAUAUUCAAGCUAUAAUUCACAUUUUUACCUUGAAACUACCACUACUUUCACCUUUACAAGAUCAUAUGCCAUAUAUAUAUAUCAUACAGCACCUAACCCACAAGAAACCCUAACUCAAAAGUCAUCCAUCUAACUAUCAAAAUUACUUGAAACAAGCAUCACAAGCAUAAUACCAACAUUAAUACCUAACUUAAUCAUGAUUAAUGGAGAAAGAAUGGUUGAUCAGCCAUUAUACCUCAAGACACAAGCUUGCAAGUAUGAUCCUUCACCUCUCCUUGAAAUUCUUGGUUCCUUAAGCUUCCCAAGCUUCCAACUAGUGAUUAAUCGAUUUAGUUUUUCUUGGUUGCACUCAAAUGGUUGGAUUCAAGGUAGAAGAUUGAAAACUCUCCUCACUCUCUUCCCUCUCCUUGCUCUCGACCAAACCAGAAAAAAAAUGAGGGAAAAUGAAGCAAGAUGAGAGAUAAGAAGGCAAGACAAAUGGUUGGUCAAGACACCAUAGGUGGUUGACACUUGUCACCACCAAAACCAUCCAAAUUUCUCUUUCUUUUCCUUGUAUUUUGGCCACAAAUUUUCAGCCAUAUGGAUGAGGAUGAGGGGGGGAUAUUUUGCAAAAAUAUCAAGGGUAUGUGUCACUAAGGAAGUGGUGGUCAAGUGGUGGGUUUAAUCGAUAGUGAUCGAUACCCAUCGGUUGGAGCCGAUUUUUCUUAAAUCGCAUAUACUAGGGUUUUUACCUUCUAAUCACUAUCUUUAAUCGAUAGUGAUCGAUACCCAUCGGUUGGAGCCGAUUUUUCUUAAAUCGCAUAUACUAGGGUUUUUACCUUCUAAUCACUAUCUUGUUUGUGACAGCCCCACCUUCCCCUAAGGCGAACCAAAGAGGUUAGCGGACUGCCUGCCCAGCUCUCGCCAGGACUAACAGUGCAGUUUAGAGCGAUCUAUUGCGUUCCGGAACUUAUAAACGCGCGUAAACAAGGUAAAAGGGCAAAAUAACCCAAAAUAAAAAAAUGAAAUUCGGAGUCGGCCAUGAAUAGUAACCGACCCGUCAGAACGCAACCAAAUAUCGAACAAACAUUCACAUCUUGAACUUUAGCAAAUACAAUCCAAAGUGACAUACAAAGUUGUCAAAAGUGAAUAUAUACACGGUUUGCCAAAUUGAAAGUGAAAACGGCCCUAAAGAUACAUUUAGGGUUUCACUUCAUAUACAAUCCAAAAAAAAAAUACAUCUAGUUCAUUCGGCAACCAUCUAUCAAGAUUCAUUCCAAAAAGUGUCAUAUUCCUGUAAGGAAAACAAAAGGAACGGUGUGAGCUAAUUGCCCAGUGAGAUACUAUCACUUACGCAACCAAUUGCAUAUAAGCAUCAAGCUUUCAUUCAAUAUAGUAAAAUAAGCAAAGGCACACGUCAAAUAUGGUGAUAAAAGGAUACAGAUGGCUCUCAAGAGCCCUUUUCCUCGUUUGCAUUUCUUGAUCGAACGUCAUUGACUCUCCGUCAAUGUUCAACAAUAACCAACCGUAGACUCCACUUUACUUCCAUUCCUUCCACCUAACAUUCCCCAACCGGGCCCGAAAUCCAAACACUUGCAUUGUGGUAUUACUCGAGUAAACCGGAAUCGAGAGUCUCUCAUACUACAAGAUUCCAUAUAACAUUGCCCCAAGGCACAUUAAUUGGCACGACCAAGCCCUCGCCGGCUCGAUUCAAUCAAUUACCAAUGGGGUUGAGCUCAAGGAUAACAAUUGUAGUCGUUGGAGACUCGUCCAAACGACACCAAGUCAUGUAUUUCAUUUCAUAUAACAUUUCAUAUAACAUUCCAAUAACUUUCCAAUAACAUGCGAAACAAUAAGUGAGAGUGAUAAAGUACACUCUCACUUCAAUCAAUUAACAUUCAACAUCUCAAGUUCAAGUAUCAAAGUCAUAUAAUAACACACAAGUGAGUAGUACACUCACCAAGCUCGCAAAUGUGGUUUCAUGCACUUCCGUCAAAAGAACGUUGUGCACCACGGUCACGUCCUAAAACAUGCAAACAAAUACAAUGAGACUCGAUAACGAGUCAUAAACCAAGGCCAAACAUGACCCCAAUAGGGUUCCAUAAGCAUAUACAAACAUUAAAGGAAACCAGAAAUUUCGGAAAUGUAACUAGCUUUGGCCCUGAAAAAAAAAGUUUUUGUCCUCAUUUUACGGUAAUGGCACCAAUUUCACUACGAUUAUCGGAUGAGGGUACAAGACCCACCAUUUCGAAGCUAAAAGACAGGGCUACAACAUCACAGAAGGUCACUCAACCCAGUUUUGAGUGCAAACAGGUCAAAAAUGCAAGAUACUACAUCAAAAACGUAAAACAGAUUCACCAAAACAUUCUAGCGGAAACAUCAUAACUCAGGCUCUCCAAGUCCAAAUCCAGAAAUUCCAAAACCAUCUGAAAGCUAAGAAACAGGGCUAAAUUUCAUCAGAAGGCCUCAACAACCAAUUCGGAAGCAAUUCCAGCCAAAACAACCAAUUACAGGCGCAAUUCUUACAUUCGGGUAAAACCAGAACAGCAAUAGUAAUUUCGACUUUUCUCAUUCUACACUACUCCGAUUGACCUGAAAUUUUGUACACUCUAAAAUGUCAUUCCCUACAACUUUCAUGUUUUAAGCUAAGGCCAAUUCGGCCUCUAACUAGGAGCUAAAAAUUCGGGCAGAAUGCUCCCUCAAGAACCCUAAUUUUCUGAAAUUUCUUCCAAACCAGAAAUUGGUUGCAAUUAAUCACUUUUUCCACCUCCUAGAGUCAUUAUAUACCAUUUCUAAUCAUCAUAGAUAGCCACACAAUCAUGCUUAUAUUAAAACAGAAAAAUCCCCAAAAAUAAAAAACUUCAUCACUUCAACCACAAAUCAAGAAAUAACCCAUAAACUUGCAUCUCAUACUACCACUAAGCAUGAUUUAAGCAUCAAUUAAGGGAGGAGGGUGGUUCUUCACAACUUACCUUAAAACAAGAGAGAGAGAGAGCUAUUGGACACCUUAACUUUCCAAAUAACUUCACACAACAACUCACCAACACCUCCUUAAGUGGUUUUAUGGACAAAUCAAGGUUGGAUGGUUUUGGUAGAUUUGAGAGAUGGAGCAAGCUUGAAGAGUUUUCUUCCUUUGCUUUGUAGAGAGAGAGGAAGAUGAGAGAAAGAGUGAAUUUUUGGUCAUUUUUUAUUUUAACCAAAUGGUAAAAGCAUGAAUAGUGUCAAAAGUUCAACCACUCCAAAUGGUGACACUUGUCACUUCAUUAAAGCAUCUCUAUUUUUGUUCUCUCACAUCAAUCCACAUAUCACCUCUAUUAUCUCUUAACACCCGUAAAUUAAUUCCAGUAUCCAAAACUUAACCUAGUUGGCCGAAUUUUUCCGAACUUUUGCACUAGUGGGUCCCACGUCCGGUAUACGCUCUUAAUUUCUCAAAACCUAUUCGAUACUAGAAAAAAUCAUCUAAAAAUUAUAUCUGCUCCUUAAAUUCAUCUAGAAUUUUUCCUAAGCACGAAAAUGCAGAAAACAAGCCAUGAAAAAUAUAAAACCUAGAAAAUGAAAAAUACGGGUUCUCACACUCUCUCCCCCUUAAAAGAAUUUCGCCCUCGAAAUUUCUCACCUUAAUUCACGAAAAGGUUAGGGUAUUUCGUUCGCAUCUCCUCUUCCACUUCCCAGGUAGCUUCCUCUACCCCAUGGUUUCUCCACAGUAUCUUCACCAAUGGAAUCUGCUUGUUUCUUAGCUCUUUGACUUUUCGGUCAAGCACUUGGACAGGUUUUUCUUCGUAAGCAAGCGAUUCGUCUACGUCGAUCUCCUCUGGUUGUAAGACAUGGGUUGGGUCGGGAUAGUAUUUCUUUAGCAUCGAGACGUGGAAAACGUCGUGAAUUCGAGAAAGACUGGACGGCAGCUCUAAUCGAUACGCUACCGUUCCUACUCUUUGGAGAAUCUUGUAGGUCCAACGAACCGCGGUUGGAGCUUCUUUCCUUUGCCCGCUGUGACACUUCGUAAAGGUGUGACUUUAAGAAAUACAUGUCUCCAACCUCGAACUCCAAGUCUUUUCUUCGAUUGUCUGCGUAGCUCUUUUGUCGGCUUUGAGCUGUUUGGAGUCGUUGCCGUAUCAACUUGACCUUUUCUCGAGCUUCCUCCAUCCAAGGAAUAGUGGUUGGAUCUAAUGUCUUCCUCUCGCCAACUUCAUCCCAGUAAAUUGGUGAUCGGCAUUUUCGUCCAUAUAAUGCUUCAUAUGGAGCCAUUUGAAUCGACGAAUGGUAGCUAUUGUUGUAUGCAAACUCUACUAAGGUCAUGUGUUGACCCCAGUUGCCUCCAAAAUCCAGAAUGCAAGUUCGUAGCAUGUCCUCGAGAGUUUGAAUGGUUCGUUCUGAUUGUCCAUCCGUCUGAGGGUGAUAGGUUGUGCUCAAGUUGAGUUUCGUCCCUAGAGUCUCCUGGAACUUUUGCCAAAACCGAGAUACAAAACGUGGAUCUCGAUCAGAGACGAUACUGACUGGAACGCCAGUGUAGCCUUACGAUCUCGUUCAUGUACAGUUGAGCCAACUUGUCCAUGGAAUACUUCAUGUUCACCGGCAAGAAAUGGGCCGACUUGGUUAAUCGAUCGACGAUCACCCAAACGGCAUCGUGUCCUCGCUGCGUUGCGGCAAACCUGAAACGAAGUCCAUGGUGAUGUUUUCCCACUUCCAUUCAGGUAUCUCCAGGGGUUGUAACAAGCCGAUGGUUUUUGAUGCUCUGCUUUAACUUGUUGGCAAACGAGACAUUUUUGCACGUAUAGAGCAAUUUCCUUCUUCAUAUUGUCCCACCAAUAAUUUCCUUUCAGGUCUUGAUACAUCUUACUACUACCCGGAUGGAUUGUAUACUUGGAUCGAUGGGCUUCCUCUAGAAUCUCCGUUUUCAACGAUUCAUCCUUCGGCACCACUAUUCGGUUUCGGUAUUUUAAAAUACCCUCAGGACCAAAAUUGAAAUCAGUGGUUUCUCCUUUUCCCACUUUCUCUCCCAUUUCUGCACCAGUGCAUCUUCCUUUUGAGCUUCUUUAAUCCUUUCCAAGAAGGUAGAAGUCACUUUAAUAUUGCCAAAAAUCACCUUAUGGCUCCCAGGGCAGGGUUUCCAUUCACACACGGAGUCUAACAAUUCCCACUCUUUGAUCAUUAGACUCGCGACCUGAGCUUUGCGACUUAGGGCAUCGGCCACCACGUUUGCUUUUCCGGAUGGUAGUUGAUGGUACAGUCGUAAUCCUCCAAAAAUUCCAUCCACCGUCGCUGCCUCAUGUUUAAUUCCUUCUAUGAGAAAAGAUACCUCAGGCUUUUAUGAUCGGAGUAAACCUCGAAAGUUACUCCAUAUAAGUAGUGCCUCCACUUCUUCAGAGCAAAAACAACUGCAGCUAGCUCCAGAUCGUGGGUCGGGUAAUUUUGCUCGUGGGGUUUUAACUUCCUCGAGGCAAAAGAGAUCACAUUUCGGUUUUGCAUUAAUACACAACCCAGGCCUUCUCGGGAUGCAUCAGUGUACACAGCAUAUCCGUCCACCCCGUUUGGUAAGACUAGAACUGGAGCCAUGGUCAAUCUUUUCUUUAAUUCCUGAAAACUUGUCUCACUUCGGGCGUUCCAUAAGAACCGACCAUGUUUCUUCGUCAAAUCGGUUAGAGGACCGGCUAGUUUGGAGAAGUCCUUGACAAAAUGCCGGUAAUAUCCAGCCAGUCCUAGAAAGCUGCGGUGUGAGAACCCGUAAAACCCUAAUAUUUUUUCCUAGGGUUUAUUACCCCAUAAUUGCAUAAUUUUUUUUUGCAUUUUCUGGCUUAGAAAUAUUUUUCUGGUAGAUUUUAUGAGCAAUUAUAGUUUUUAGAUGAUUUUUCUAGCAUUGGUGAAUUUUUAGAAAAUUAGGAAUAUAUAUUGGACGUGGGACCCACUAGUGCGAAAAGUUCGGAAAAAUUCGGCCAAUAAGGUUAAGUUUCGGAUACUGUGUAAAAUUUAUCGGGUGUUAAGAGAUAAGUAGAGUGUGUGAAAUGAUUGAUGUGAGAGAGAAAGAAAGGAUAGGAAUGCAUUAAUGAGAGUGACAAGUGUCACUUUCUCAUUGGGUGGACUUUAAGAAUUACUAUUCACUUUCUUGACUUUUUUGACCAAAGGAUUAAAAAUCAAAAAAUUGCACAAAAUUCACCAUUUUCUUCUCCUUGGUGGCCGGAUCUCCCUAGCUCAAGAAGGAAGGAAAUUUCUUCAACUUUCAAGCUUCCAUUUCACUCAAUCUUCGAAGAACAAAAGCCUACACUAGAUUCCACUCCAUAAAAUCUUUCCUUCUAGUGCUAGUAAGUGUCUUAGUGAAGUUUGUUUGAAGGUCUAAGGUGGUCAACAUCCCUCUCUCUCUUGAUUUCUUGGUAAGUGAUGCUUGAACACCCUACUACCUCUAAUGAUGCUUAUCUUGUGCUUAAUGGUGGCAUGAGUGAUGGAAUAUGUGAUUUAUUUCUUUAUUUGAAGUGAUUUGGUGAAGUUUUCCAUUUUAUGAUGAAUUUUCUGGUUUAAUAUGAAUGGGAUGUUAUGGCCUUGUAUGAUGAAUGGUAAUGGUUUAAAAUGACUCUAGUGGGUGUGAAUUGUUGCUAAAUGCAACCAAUUUUGGAUUUGGAGUGAAUUGUGAAAAGUUAGGGUUUGAAAACCCCUAAUUCUGUCCGGUUUUGGAUCAUAGGGUUAGAGGCCGAAUUGGACUUUGCUCAAAACAUGAAAGUUGUAGGUAUUGAUGUGUUUGAGGUGUCUGUAAAAUUUCGGGUCAUUUGGAUUCGUGUAGAGUGAGAUAUGACGGAAUUACUAUAGCUGUUCUGCUUUGGACAGAAUGCGAAAUCUGCACUGGUAAUUGGCCAUUUUGACUGGAAUCGGUUUGGAUUUUGUUGUUGGUGUCUUCUGAUGAAAUGUAGCUGGAUGUCUUAGCUACCAUAUGCCUUUAGAAUUUCGGCAUUUGGGCUUGUAUGGACUGAGUUAUACGGAUUACAGUUUUGUGUGAUUUACAAACCUGUUUUGGUCAUUCUGGUUUAGAAUUUGGCAUUUUUGACCUAGUUAAGCUAGGAACUGGAGUGAGUGACCUUCUACAUUAUUGUAGCCCUGUUUCAUAGCUUCGAAACGGUGGGUCUUACACCCCCAUCCGAUAACCGUAGUGAAUUUGACGCCAUUACCGCAUAAUAAGGGCAAAACAGUUUUUCUAUUCGGGCUAAGACUAAAGCUAUCUCUAAUUUCUGGUUUGCUAUCAUGCUUAUUUAUGCAUAUGAAACCCUAUUGGGGUUGUGUUCAGCAUUGCUAUAUGACUUGUUAUCGAGUCUCAUUGCAUUUGUUGCGUGAUUCUAAGGCGUGACGGUAGUUCACGGCGGAUUGGUGACCACGGUGUAUGAAACACCACUUUCUUGCUUGGUGAGUAUACUACUCACUUAAUUUUUACUAUGUGGCUUUGCUAAAUGUAUAUGUGAUGCCUUGAAGGCUUACUUGGAUAUUGGAAUUGAUUAAGGUGAGGGUGUACUUGACCGCCCUCACCCCUUUUGAUAGUAUCACUGAUUGGCUACCGUUUUACUGCAUUACUGAACUUGAUAUAUUGGUUGGUGAAUUCCAUUUCAUGGAAACUGCUUUGGUGUCGUUUGGACGAAUGUCCAACGGCCUUACUGUAUUACUGAGCUCAACCCCGUUUGGUAGUCAAUUGGAUCGAGCCGGCGAGGGCUUGGUCGUGAAAAUUGUCAUGCCACGGGGAUUGUACUGAGGAACCUUGUAGUAAUGAGACUCUUGGUUCCGGUAUACUCGAGUAUUACCAAAAGCUACUGAGAUGAAGUACGGGCCCGGUUGGGGUAUGUUUGGUGGAAGGAUUGGAAGUAAAGGGUGGUCUACGGUUUUGUACUUUUAACAUUGACGGAGAGUCAAUGAGGUUGGAUCAAGAUUGCAAGCGUGGAAAUGGGCUCUUGAGAGCCCUCCGUAUCCUUUUCUGACUUUUUUACUUUUAAAUUGUGCACUUUAAAUGAAAGUUCAUUCUUAUGUGACUUUGGUUGCUUAUGUAGUGGUAUACCACUGGACUUUAGCUCAUUCCGUGUUAUUUGUUUUUCCUUACAGGGAUAUAAUUACUUUUGAGAAUGGAUUGGAUAGUCAAUUGCCAAGUUGGGCAUGUAAAUGUCUUUUGUAUAGCUCUAGAAAUGAAACCCUAAUGUGUAUCGGGUUCAUUUCCUUUUGAUAGGCAAACCAAAUAUGUACUUCCAUGAUGAAUGGUUUUGGUAUGCCCUUUUGGCUUGUAAAUGGUUAAUGUUAUGUUGUAUAUGUAUUUCGAUUUGGUUGGGUUUCGGACGGGUCGGUUACUAUUCAUGGCCUGUCGCGCCCCAUUUUUUAUAAAUAAAUAAAUAGUAAAAAAAAUGUAUUUGUGUGUGAUUGAAAAAUGAAUUGUGGUUUAAAAGAAAAAUGGGUCUAAAUGGGGAUUUGAGAAUGCGACGAUUUGACCCAAAAAUUAUAGUUUAAAAAGGGUUUUUUGAAAUGAAAAUUGGAGUCGCCACUUGGUAAUGAGUUAAGGUGUACCAAGUCACCAAAAAUGAAUUUUUAAAGAAAAAAAAUAGGAAAAAGUAGUAAGAAACCCCUUUUAAACGACUCCUAGUCCACGUAAACCAAAGAAAAAGGUUCGGGAGUCACAUUUGACAAAGGGGAAGGCAAGGAUAAAAUCCAAGGCACCCCUUUGACCUAGCCAAGGCUAGUUGCAUGAUUUAAUCAAAGAUUUUCUUGUUUCAACCAAAUAAUUUAUUACAUUUGGAUGCACUACAUGAAUGCAAACCCUAGACCUAGGGGGAGGGGAAAUUUCCCUUCAAAGGUUGAGUGGUGCCAAUCACAUUAAUCGUGAAAGCCCAAUAACGAUCCUUUGAAGAAGUCACGAAUAAUGCGAGUGCGAUGCAAAUGAAUGGAAUGCAUGUAUGCAAUGUGAGGACAUGAGUUUGAAAAAGUAAUAAAAGACAAGAAUGUGUAAGUGAGAGUGUGUACGUGAGUGGGCAAGGUAUGGUAUGUGAAAUGAUAAUAUGAAGUGCAUGUGUGCAAGUGUAUAAAAAGGUGCAUGUGUGCAAUUGUAUGGAAAUCCAAGUGUUUGUGUGCAAGUGCAUGAAAUAUAGUGAUAAGUGCAUAUAGGUGUAAUUAAGUGCACUUUUGUGAAGUAGAAAUCAAAAUGAACAAUAAGGAAAGGAAAAGUGAUAAGGAAAUGUGAAUUGAAAAAUGAAUAAGUGAUAAAAUGAGAAUGAAUGAACCUAAAGGAAUGCAUCAGGUUGGGUAUGGGAAUGACUCCUAACUUUUUCGACUUCGAUUUUCCCUUUGAUUAGAAAGCAAAACUAGCGUGCUAAGGCUAUCGAGUAGCCACACUCGCUCGUUUCCCUUAUCAAAAGGGGACGCUCAAGCAAAAUGAACCCUAUAGCUAGUAUGGGAUGCAAAACCUAAAGUGAGAGGAAAAGGGGUUCGAGGAUCAUGCCAAAUGAUAAAACUAAGGAAAAUGCGUGAUAUGUGGUGAACAAGCAAAUGAUGUACUAACGAGGGAAAAUCCCUAAGGGUCUAGCGUUGGACUAGCCCAUUCUAUGAAUUCCGACUAGCGUUGGACUAGUGGAAACGAUAAAAGAAGCCACAACUAGCGUUGGACUAGUGUGGUGACGUACAUUCAUCCAUUCCAUUCAUCCACACUAUAAAAAGCGAGUAGACAUGCGAAUCACUUAUAAACACGUAGCACAUAACACUUAGCAUGCUUGACUAGAUGCAAGGACCUAAUAAAGCGAUUAAACACUUAACACGUAGGCAUGCAACCAAACUAAUGAACCUAUUACAUUCACUAACUAAAACAAAAAGGGAAGGGGAAAAUGGACCAAAUUGCUCGCCAAAGCCCUAUCUAUUACAAGCCAAGAGGUGUACACAUACCCCAUUAAAAGAAUAACUUAAAUGAAAACAAAAGUAAAUGACGUAAGUAAAAGAAAUUAAAGAAAGGCUAGGAAAGCAAAGUAAACAUGUAUUUCUCACGUAGCACGUUGGUUCUCAUAGGAGAAACACAAAAAGAUAAAAGAAAUUAUACCUCCCUUGAAAUGAAGCUCUAAUGGAGUGAAAUCAACUUAUUUAUCCUCCAAAAUAAAAAAAUGGUCAAGGUACCAAUUUAUUUGGCAAAUAAUCACAAAGGAUAAAAAAUAACAUGAAUUUGAAUCAAUUAAAUCAUGUCAACGACCCACAUUUAAGAAGUAAAAGAAGAAAAGACUUGAUUGCAAAAAAUUAAUAAAGUUUUGGGGUCAAAAUUAAAGAAAAUAAAGUUCAGGGACUCAUUUGCAAUUAAAGUAAGGACCGGAUUGAAGGAAAUUGAAGAUAUCCAGGGCCAUAGUAUAGUUAAGGAGAAAUUCAGGGACUGAUUUGCAAAAUCGUUUUCUGGUUUCUUCAUGGACCAGGCUAUUGGGCCAUUUUAUUCACUUCUUGGGCCAAAAUCCUCUUAGCACAAAUCAGGACCCAAGCAAAACAGACGGGCUAGCCUACUAUUUUGGCCCAAAAUUAGCCAACCAAACAGAUGGAUCAUGAUCCUCUGGCCCAAGCCAAAAAUCCAAACAAAAGUGUUGGGCUCUAUCUUCCUAAGCCCAAACAAAGUAACCCCUUAAUCCAAAACACUUAUUUUACUAAACCCAACAAGAUAAACAAAUCAACUAAAAUUAUUAAGCCACAAUUAUGACUUGAAACAAGAAUUUAAUCUAUCCACAAAGUUACAUAAAAUAUGCAAACAGAGGAUUAAACCUAAAAAGACAAAAUUAGUUCAAUUAUCCCCAGUUUUGGGCCAUGGCAGAAUAAGGGAGAUUUGGGGGGUCAAAAAUGCAAUUUUGAAAAGAUUUUUCAUGCAUGCAACGAAGAAAACAAUUCUACAAACUGGAUUCUCCUACUACUUCACAUCUUUCUUACUGCAAUUUGCUUGGCUAUCUGAUCAUGCCAGCAAAUUCACCAAAACCCCACGGUUAUAACCAUCAAACAUCCACUAAAUCAAACACAACAAUUUGGUUGCAGGAUUCAAAUAAAAAUUUGAAUUGACCGAAAGGAAGAGGAAGAGGAAAAAUGCAGCAAAGUUCUUUGCAAUUCUUAGCUGUGCACCUUUCGGAUAUAUGGCAACAUCGACAGAAGAAAGAAUAGGAAAACUAUGGCAUGCUAAACAAACCUUCUAACCAGAGAAACGACUACCCCAAAUCUGAUGAACACAAAAUCCAGGACGCAAAUCUGGUCUGACCAAUAGCAAAAGAAAGAAAGAAAAAACGCAGCAGAGAUUCUGCAACUCAAAGCUGUCUCCUACUUCAUCUCAAAUGAGGAUUCCAAAACUUUUCAACCAAAACAAAAUCAUAACUCCAAGCCAAGCAACAAGACACAUGACUUCCACAUAUAAACAAGCUAAAACUUAAAAAGAUAUCAUGCAAAACUCUGGGCAAGUAUGCAAACAUUUGAAGAACAAAAACUGCCGCAGCUUUCAUCCAUUUCUUAUUCAAGUGACAAAAUUGGCUCCUUUCAUCUUUGUCAUGAACAAAGGAACUUAUAUACAAUCAAACCACUCCAAUGAAAUGAAUAAAUGAGUCCAAAUCAUAAAAUCAAAACAUUGCAGUUUUAUUGCCAAAACAGCCAUGGAGGAAUAGAGUACAAGAUAAAAUGUGCAUGAUCAAAAACACCCAAACAAACCUAUUUUUCCCAAAAGCCAACCUCUAAAUCUUCAAUCCAAACUUCCAAUAAACAAACCCAGAACAUCAGAACAACAUAAACACAUCACGUCAAACAUGCCAGACACGCUGCAAAUUCAGCAACCAAGAGAGAAAAAAACGGCUGCAACAAGUCAAAAGGUUAGCGCUUGUUGCAGCAAAAUCUCUCAUAUGCGCAGGUCUCUUUCUAGGAAUCCUAAUAGGCUAGACCAUGAUAAAGGAUCCAAGAACAGGGGUAUAAUAGCAUACUCAUCAGAAAUCAGCAAAAACAAACCGCAAUCAUGAAUAAACAAACUAGAAAGCUGCAAAUUCUCUCACAACCAUCACCAGAUCUUGAAGAUAAAAAUGAAAUUUUGCUAAAACCCAAAGACAAAGAUGGAUUACCUCUAUCCCAGCAAGAGUUUUGACGUGGAAUAACCCCAGGAGAAUCGUGGAAAUGGUGAAAAACCUUUGACCCGCAACUUGAAGCUCUUCCUCCUCCCGGUCUUCCCCUUGCUUUCUUUCUUUUCUGGUUUUCUCCCAGCCCUCAAAGACCCAGUCUUUUCCUUUUGUUUUGCCGCUCCUUUUCUUCUUGUCUCCCCUCUCUCUCGGCCGCUGUUUACUCUAUUCCCUCAACCUCUCUUAGCCGUCGCUCAGAUUUCCUCUUCUCGGCCGCGCCUCCAUCUCUCAGCUCACUCUUCUCCCCAGUCAGCCCGUAGCUUUCUUGAAGUUUUUUCUUCUCCAAAAACCUAGCCGCUACCCUUCACUCCUUAGCCGUUCCUCUCUUUCUUUUAGAUUUUCCGUCCGUCAAAUUCAUUCCCGUAGCUGCCUUGUGGCUUUCGUUUUUCCUCCAGCCGUUAAUGCAUCUCCCUUCGAUCCUCACCAGCCGCUAGCUAACUAACCACUCUCUCCAAAAACUCCUCCCCUACGGCUGUGGUUUCUUUUCUUAUUUAUAUCAUCAACCCCCCUCCUAAACCCUUAAAACAUUGCCACCAUAUUUGCAGCUUAAGGAGCCGCACAAGUCCUCCUUUGCAAACUGCAAAAAAUGCAGCUUGCAUGCCGCGGCUCUAUUUUUUUUUUUUUAACUUAAUAAAUACAGAAUAUAAAUAAUAAUAAUAAUAACAAAAUGACAAAACUAUGUAAUAAUAAUGAAAACAAAUAAAUAAUAAAAAAACAAACUAAACAAAUAAAAACAACAAAAAUGUCCAUUUUUCAAAUUUUCUUCAUUUUUCCUUUUUUCUCUUUUUUUUUUCCUUUUCUCAAAAUAACUUAAUAAAGAUAACUAAAGUGCCAAAAGAUUGAAUUUGAACGUAUUUUUGUGACCAAUUUUCCCUUUUUCUCUUUUUUCAUGAUUUUUCCCAUUGUUUUCUUUUCCUUUUGAGAAAUUCCAUCCUAAAGCUUAAAAAUAAAAUAAUGACAUGAAAACUAAAAAAAACGAAAAACUAAAAAUGAAUAAAACAAACAUGACAAAAACAAAAAACUAAGAAACAAAGAGUAAAUGAACUUGAGCUAAAAUUUGGUGUCUACAGUUUGCCCCUCUUUGUCUGAGUUUUGAAAAAACUUGAGACAAAGAAGUAGACACCAAAUACUUACCUGUGUUAUUCGGCUGCGAAUUACUCAAACGAUGGGGACUGACCCCUAACAGGAAAUUUUUAAAAUCGGGACUGACCCGAGACAGGAUUUAAACGGGACUGACCCGAACAGAAAUAUAAAAUUGGGAUAGACCCGAACCGAAAAUGUAAAAUGGGAUAGACCCAAACAGAAAAUGUAAAAUGGGAUAGACCCAAACAGAAACGUAAAAUGGGAUAGACCCAAACAGAAACGUAAAUGGGAUAGACCCAAACAGAAAUUUAAAAUUGGGAUAGACCCACGGGAUAGACCCGAACAGAAAAAUGAAAUUCUUAUGGGCGGGACAAAUCCAGCUGCAAUAACAAUGAAAAUAACAUGCUUUGACAAUCGGACAGUGGGAUCAAACCCGAACCUGCCGUGAUGAACUUGACUUGAUUUUUGAUUUUUUUUUCGAUUUUUUGAUUUUUUUCUUGAGAAACUUUCCAAAGAUAAUUUGCCCCAGUAUGAUGAAUUGGUCGGUGAGAUAACAUCUGAGCCUGACGGGGUGUGGACGGUCAGCGGGAUAGAACCCGGUCCUGCCGAGGUAAGCGGUCAGCGGGAUAAAACCCGGUCCUGCCGAAAGAAGCGGUCAGCGGGAUAAAACCCGGUCCUGCCGAGAGAAGCGGUCAGCGGGAUAAAAUCCCGAGGUAAGCGUGUCAGCGGGAUAAAACCCGGUCCUGCCGAAAUAAGCGGUCAGCGGGAUAAAACCCGGUCCUGCCGAAGUAAGCGGUCAGCGGGAUAAAACCCGGUCCUGCCGAGGUAAGCGGUCAGCGGGAUAAAACGGAUAAAACCCGGUCCUGCCGAAUAAGCGGUCAGCGGGAUAAAACCCGGUCCUGCCAUUCACUUGGUCAGCGGGAUUAGACCCGGUCCUGCCAAUAUUGGUCAAAAAAUUGAACUUGAUUUGUCAAAAACUAGAAAUUAAAUUUGAUUUUCCAAGAAACAAGAAUUUGAACUUGAUUUUUGAUUUUUUUUGACUUUUGAAUUUUUCUGAUUUUUCGAGAGAAUCUUUUCAAAAUAAUCUGCCCCCAGUGUAGGGCCCUUUUUCUUUCUUUCUUCUCUUUCUUCGGCAUCGGCCUCCCACAUCACCAGAUGCUUUUUCGUCGAUUUCAACUAUGAAUACCUGCACAGGGGCUUACCAAAAUAUGACAUGCACUCAAGUUUUUGUGAAAAGAAACAGCGUGAUUGAUUUGAAAAAUGCAUUAUUUUGAUUCUUGGACGAAAUCCUCAAUUGGACUACAAAAAUAUUUGCCCCUGUGUGGGUUUAUUUUGUGAAAUCUUGCAAAUAAAAAUUUUGCCCCAGUGUGGGCUCCCUUGAAUGCAAAAAUUUGGUUCAGAUGAUUUCCCAUUUAUUUGAACAAAGAGAAACAGCACUUCUAAAAUUUAGAAAAUAGUCAUAUAUACAAUGUGAAGACACUUAACGUCGAGUUUGAAAUCAUGCAGAAAUUUCAUGAUGAAUCCCUUAGAAUAACACCAAAUUCAAGAAGAUUUCUUCCUCACUUUUAGCAUCAGUGCUUAGGAUAACAGGUGACCACUUUCUGGUUAGCCCAUCUUUCAAGACUAAUCAAAUGGGCGUUAUGUCUGACUUGGAAGUGACUAAAGGAAAUGGGAGGCCAAGACUUGUCUUAUUUUGUGCCCCAAUUGUAUGUAAUCCCUUCAAUGUCACAUCUUAGUGAAAGCAAAGAGUUUGUCACCCUUUUUUUUUUCUCUUUUUUUUUUUUUUUUUUUUAAGAAAACUUAGUCAACACAUAAGUUUUAAGCUUGCAACAAAUGGGUAAAACGAUAGCUAAACAUGCGAAAACUGGUUAUACCCUUAUGAUCAUGAGUGAUCGAUGGAUUUCUUGUGAGCAUAAUACUCACUUUGGAUUGUCAUGAAGGAAUAAGUCAACGAUGGACUUUGUUAGCUUGUAAUGUGGCUCGAAACGAUAGUUGAAGGAUAAGACUUUCAAGGACAUUGCACCGAAGAUCGCAUUUUCCCAAAAUUGCCCCUAUUUUGAACUCGAAAGAUUUCAGACUUUGUUUGGAUUUUCUCAUCAUUCACCAGGGAUUUCAGCAUCGAAUUUUUCUGCAUUUUCUUUCGCCUCUUUUCUUUUCCCUCGAGCUGAUGGGUUUUCUCAUACCCGAGUAAUUCAGAAAUACAGCUAAAAUUUUCGGCAUCAGAAAUUUUCUUGACAGGGCCAUUGCAAAGAACAGAAGUCAGGACUUUCGGCUUUUGUAAUGGGGUCAGGUGGGGUGUUUAGAAGAGUCAAGGCUUGAAAGCAGAUUUCAAUAAUGGUUUAAGUAAUCUGAGAUCGCAUUGUUGUGCCAACCCUAUUUUAGGGUUAAAUCAAAAUUUUGCCCCAAUUUAUGCUCAAUUGAGGCUUUUUCUCUUUCAUUUUCUUUCUUCUUUUGAUUUUUCAGCUUUUGCCAUUCUUUUGAACUUUCACAAAAUUUGCCCCAGUUUACUUUUGUACUGAGGUUCUCUUUUUUCUUUUCUUUUGAUUUUGCGGCAUUGUCACUUUUUCACUUCUUGAAAUUUUCCUUUUCAACUCCAACUUGCCCCAGUGUGGGGUUUGCGAUUCUCAGGGGUUGCCAAAUGAAGUAUUUUAUUCUGAUGGCUCCAAAGGGAUAACUAGGGAUAGAAUGUUUGAUUGGAAAAGAAGAGGGUCUGACUUUAUUCCGUCCUUACAAUAACUCUGAAAGGAAACUUUCAUUAAUGCGAAAUUUUUUGCAUGUAUCUGAAUUACUGACUGGGAAGACCCUUAUUCAUUCAUAUUUGUGACACAUAGGCGGUCCGUGGAUAAAUCUCUUCCUUUUCUUCUUUUCAAAAUUGGAACCCAAGUGGAAUCAAAUUUUUCCAAUCUGCGGUUCCCUUUCCCCUUUUUCUUUUUUUCCUUUUUCAAAAUUCCCCAAUCUCCUUCCCCAAUGUGGGGUGCGAUCAUAUGUGCACUCGAAAAGAACCACCAAUUUUUUUUUGCUCAAAUGAGGAUGCAAGGGAUAAAUGGUGUUUAGGUCGUAGAAAUGAUGGCCAAAGUAUCAUUCUUACACCUCAUGACAAUCAGAGUAACGCAAUGCUCAUUGAAAAUCCACUCCCUUUUGAUAUUUAACAAUUUUCCAUGUAGGGUAGUGAUCAUCAAGGCGCUUAUUUGAAACGAAAUUAUUCUUUUAAAGGCUCAAACGGGAGAGCAAAUGAUAAACUCUGUAUAGAUAGAGAAAAGACUGCUCAAAGUAUCAUUCCAACUUUUCAAAACAAACAAGAAUAAUGCACAUUUUUGCUUUCACUUAGAUGUGAAUUGAAUCGGUUAAACACAAUGGAUAUUUUCAAGCAAAGAUGGCCCCAAUUUGCAAUUUAUCAAUCAAUGUGACUGAUUUUAUUUUGGGGUUAAGUGAAGGUAUCUCAUUGGGCCUUUUGAGUGACCAUUCACCUCUUUUCCUGAGCACUCUUAUUGUAUGGCUCGGAUUGC